RNAcentral lists this ribosomal RNA (465 nucleotides) under Vreelandella stevensii. Its description in RNAcentral is "partial 16S ribosomal RNA". It matches the Rfam family "Bacterial small subunit ribosomal RNA", at positions 338 to 795 of the family's 1533-position model. Lineage: Bacteria; Pseudomonadati; Pseudomonadota; Gammaproteobacteria; Oceanospirillales; Halomonadaceae. The record is from RNAcentral.
CCUACGGGGGGCAGCAGUGGGAAAUAUUGGACAAUGGGGGCAACCCUGAUCCAGCCAUGCCGCGUGUGUGAAGAAGGCCCUCGGGUUGUAAAGCACUUUCAGUGAGGAAGAACGCCUGGUGGUUAAUACCCAUCAGGAAAGACAUCACUCACAGAAGAAGCACCGGCUAACUCCGUGCCAGCAGCCGCGGUAAUACGGAGGGUGCGAGCGUUAAUCGGAAUUACUGGGCGUAAAGCGCGCGUAGGUGGCUUGAUAAGCCGGUUGUGAAAGCCCCGGGCUCAACCUGGGAACGGCAUCCGGAACUGUCAAGCUAGAGUGCAGGAGAGGAUGGUAGAAUUCCCGGUGUAGCGGUGAAAUGCGUAGAGAUCGGGAGGAAUACCAGUGGCGAAGGCGGCCUUCUGGACUGACACUGACACUGAGGUGCGAAAGCGUGGGUAGCAAACAGGAUUAGAUACCCCUGUAGUC